GCUAGUUCUUAUUCUAUGUAUCUUUCUGUUAUCUUCUUUAAUCUUUACAACAAAUCAUUUUAGAGAUGAAAAGGAAAAAUCUUCAAGAACCUAAUUAAUUUGACCCUGUGCAUACAUCUAAAAAGUGACCAAGCUAAGAUUCGAACCUACUUCUUUCUGACAUAAUGUCCUUCUUUCCUCUUUUAAAACUAUUUCUCAUCCUACUUCUAACAUUGUAGAAGAUUUUCAGUUGCCUUCUAAUAGUCUGUGUAGCUUUCAUAAGGGAUAUGGAAAUUGGUAUAGAAUGUGAUUCCAUGGUGCUAUUUUAUCACCUGAAAACAUGCCCAAUCCAAGCCACUUGUCAAUUUUUCUCCCAGUGCAGACUAAAGCCUAUCAUACAACAUUCAUUUCUUAACAAAUAGCAUUAUUUUUUGUAUUAUUUUGUGAGACAUACCUGUCAUUAGGUAUAGGUGUUUAGUUCACCUCUCAAAAUCUCAAAAUCACCUCAGUUUUCCUAGACAAAAAAUAGUAAUAAUAACAUAAACAUUAUUUGUUACUAUGUAAGUAUAAAAUAGUGAAACUGAUUUUUGGUUGAUAUUAGGUACAGUAGUCUGAUGAAUCUAUAUAGUACAUAUCUAGCUUUACUAUUUAUAAGUUUCAUAAUCUAUUAAAUGCAGAUGAUAAUAGCACCUACCUCAUAAUGUCAUGUGAGGAUUAACUGAGAUAAUACAUGUAAAGUAUUUAGAUUAGUCACCACCAUAUAGUAAAUAUUCAAUAAAUGUUAACUGUUAUUAUACAUGAGCAUUUAGGAAUAAAAAAUCAAAUAAUUACUGGUGAGUGCUCUGUACACAGAAGCUGGAUAAAUAUAUAUUAACUUUAUUAAUUAAGUAUAUAAUUUUUUAAUGGCUAGUGUUACUGAUCUAUAUUAAGGGCAGUAUUCUGCCUGCUGCCUCAUACUUUGAAUAUAAUAUACAACAAAAUGUUCAAUAUCAUUAAGAACUGUACAUAGUUCCAAGAGUAUUUACUGGCUCUGAAAGAGCAUUUUUUAAAAAAUUAGGACUAUCAUUUCUUUUUCUGACAUAUCAUUUGCACUCUUAGUGCUACAUAGUAUAUGCUUUCUAGCUAGAGGUAGGUGUGUGACCACUAAAUAUUGUAGAUAUAGAUUCCCCUUUUCUUUUAAUAAUUAUGCAUGUGUGACUUAUCUUAUGAUACAAUGAAAACAGAAGCUAUACAAGUAUGCACAUGAUAGAAACAAGAUAAAUAGGCUGGGAAACAAAAAAAAGGCUACUAUUGUCACACAUGCUUCCUAUUUGCCUGAGACAACAGAAAUAUACUGAAAGAGAGAAAGACAAUAUAUGUCACAAUUUGUGCCAGUGCUGAAAAUGCUACAUACUUUUCUGAUGAUGUCAAAACAUAGUUUUGGGAGGCCUUUUUUCAAAAUAAAUUUGUUUUUAAAUCCUGAAAUAUUUACUCUCUGAAACAUUUCUCUGAGAUUAUCAUGAAUUAAAUCUCCUGAUUCCUAGAACUAGUAAUCUGAUUCUGGUAAUAGUUUUAGGAAAGGUUCAAAGGUUUGCCUUCCCCUAGUAUGCUCUUCCUAUCACUGUUAUUUCCCCUCCUUCUACCUUUAGAUAUAAUUCAUCCCUCAGGUUGAGGAGCCCCAUUUCAUGCAUUUGUGCUAGUGUUGUUGCUCUUGGUGUGCUGUAUUAUGGUUUUCUGUCUAGAGGUGAAUUUUCUCUUUUAGAAUCUAGUGACUAAAUUAUGCCUAAAGACAGAGGCUCUGGCUUAUUCAUCUCCCAAUACCUAAUAUGAUUCAGUUCCUAAAACAGAGUAGCUAUUUGAUAAAAACAUAGCCAAUCAGUUAGUAAACUUGCCCCCACAUACAAAUGCACGUGUACACACACAAACACAUACACACACACACACUACAUAAAAUUUCUUAUGCAUAUUCCUCAAGUGCUUGUGAACCUUUUGAAAUUGCCUAUGAACAUAUUAAUAUGCUUCUGAGUGCACUCUUCUCUUUGAGGAACAUUUUCUAAUCUUUGAAAAAAUUUUUUAUCUGUUUAUGUUCUUUCUUUUUACCCGGAGCAUCACUUUUACACAGUGGACUUGAGUUGCUAAAGUACUGAUUAUUUGGUUGACCCAUAGGGAAAGUGUUAUGUAUCCUUGUUUUUAUUUAUACACUACUUGCUUGGUGGUUUUGUGCAAGCACUUUGUAUGUUAAAAAAAACCCAUGAAUUAUGUCUAUUAAAUGGGAAAGUCUUAUUUUUGAACAAUUUUUUUGUGUUUAAUACAGAGUAUCAUAUUGUUAGUAUAGAUAAAUUUUUGCAAAAUGCCUGACUAAAUCAGCCAUCAUCACUGUUUUGAGCAUAAGGUUUGAGAUUUUAGAAAAAAGCUAAAUGAAAUGUCCAGUAUCAUACAUCAAGAUCAGAGAAAAUCGGACGCUCACAACCCGUAGCUCUGUGUUUCCAGACUGUUACACAAGCUCACUGAGAAGUGCCUUAUAUGCCUGAUUUCUCAACUUCACCUUCAGUAAACUUUUGCAAUCCCAAGGCUAGAGACCUCUUUUGUGAAGGUUGUCUGCCCAGUGAGAGUGUUGGCACGGAGAGGCCCUAGCAGAUAAAGUGGAGGAACAUAUGGAUUCUAUUUGAAUACAAAUCGCUGGACAUAACGUGGUGGUAAUUCAGCUGCAGUGUCCUCUAUAUUGUAAACGGAAAGAGUAUGAUUAGAGGUGUUUAUAAACGGCGUCUGAAUUCCCCCACACCCGCCCCACCCCCUUUCCACUGUAUUUUUAUCAGCCUGAAUCAUAGCCGUCCAGCGUCCCAGUCUCACUGUGUUGUUUGUGAAAAUGGCCAGCAUGAGGAAUUAUUAAUUAAAGCUAACAAAUCACCCUGACGAGCUGGGCUGUAGCAUGGCUGAAGGUUGAUUGGCGAAAGUGUUCUCCUUUGGAGAAAAGACUUUUUGUGCUCGUGACGCAGUCAGGGACGGAUUAUUGAAUAUUCAAGUUAGAAGAAAAAUCACAGGACAAGCAAAUUGAGUAUUUACUGGCAAAUAAUUGCUCUCUUAAGCUGUGGCUCUCUUCCUAAAUUCUUAACAUUCCCGUGGGUUAGAAAGAAACUCAGAAAAAUGCAUCGGUGCAGAGUACAUUUCAAAAAAAAUACAUAGACUGAUGUUUCAGAUUUGUGCAGGUAAGUGUGAUUGUGUGUGCAUGGAAAGUGAAAGAAGAAGAGAAAGCAAAGGAAAGAUGGGGGAAGCAUGACUGUUAGUCUGAAGAGUUUUUUAAAUCAACUUGUUUAUUGGAAUACUGCUCAGCAUACUUCUAAGUUAAGAAUUUAGUUCAGUGCUGCAUUUAUUGUGAAAGUUAGAGACUUUAGGAGAGAGGGUUUUCUCAAAGUUGUUUGUCUUUAUCAGCAGACGAAUGUGUUACUGUUUUGUCCCAAUAAUAUCUUUCAAUUUUGCCUAGAUAUUUGUAGAUACAUGUAUAAAAUGAUCACUUGAUAUAAAGAUCUGUAUUUUCAACAUUGUUAAUUAUGAUGUGUCUUAACAGUGUCCCAAACACAUUUGGGCACAAGUAUUGGAUUUAUUUUUAAAAGUAGACACUGUUUUACAUUAAUUUCCAGUCAGUCCUUCCUGAGAAUUUCUAAAGGGACACUAGUUUUGGAAGUUAUUUAAACUCUGGGCUUCUAUAAUAAUUGAAGUGUCAGUUAUGUGGUCUUUUUUUAAUCUGGAAUGUUGAUCAGACUACUGAGUUUUGUGGACACUGUAAAAUAAGGAAGACUAGUUAAGAGGCUUUUUCAAAAAGAGUUUUAAAUACGUAGAAAUAAGCAAGUAUAGAAAUAAAGUCAUGUAUAAAGUGUAGACAUUAAGAAACAGUUAGAUUAUGUCAAUAGCAUUACCAGAAUACAUAUAUCCACUUAGGAUGAGUUCCAUAGUCUGUUAAAAAACUAGAAAAUGAGCUUUCAUCAACAACAGACUGUUUUAAAAUGAGAAUAAUUGACUGCGAAAUAGCAUUUUAGGGUUGUAUUAACUAUGAAUAGUGUGGGUUUAAAACAAAGGCAUAAACAUAAUUUAGAUGGAAUUAACUAAUAAUUGUAAACUACUUUAAAAAUAAAAUACAUGAUAGGAAUAAUAGAAAUAAUAAUAAAAAUAGAAAGAUCUGGCAGUCACAAAGAAAUUAAAUGAGAGGACUCAUUAAGGUUUUAGAGAGUCAGAAUUUUAAAAGGUAAAUAAAUAAAAUAUUUUGCCUUCUGAUCUGUUCCUUGAACUACACAAUAUUGUAUGGCUUAGGGUUUUUCCUUAGCAUAUCUGUUUUACUAAAAAGAAUAUAUUUUGCUCAAUAUGCAGAAUAGACUUUAAAAGAAAGUUUAGGUACUAUAUUUUGUAAAGAUUUUAUUCCCUCUGGACUGCAUUCUGUCUUCAGAUUUCAAGAAGCAGUCUCCUUAAAGUUUUUUGUAACUAUUUGAGGGCAAAAUUUGGUCCAUUAUUUUGAAAUAGCAAAGGGGGCAUUUAAAGCAUAUGUUCAAAGACUAAACCAUCUGCCUGCUUUAUUAUGAAUACCACACAUUUAUGAGAACUUGGAAAGGCUCAAAAAUUGAACCAGAGUCCUAUGAAAGAUUGUAAGAAUACAACAUUCUGAAUAUUAAAAAUGUUUUGCAACCACAUACUUUUGCUAAGUAUUUUAUUAGUCUUCUGUGGAGUAAUAGUAUCAUUGCACUUCUUGAUAUGUGGAUAAGUAGGAAACUGUAAUGAGAGAGAUGAACUUUUGGUAAGUUAAUGUGAAUCCUUUCUUUCUGAUUUAACCCACUAAAUCUAAAUACCUUUUGGAGUUGUGGACUUUUCAUUAGGAAAAUAGUUACUUAGAAAAGCAUUAUAAAAUGGUGACUAUUGGAACAAAAAUGAAGUCCAGCUGCUAGCUUCUGGACUAUCUACAAAUGAGUUGCAAAAGCCAUGCAGAGGCCAGACUAAAGAGCACUUCUGUAGUCCAACUGUGAUGUAAUGGAAGUAUGAAUCAGCUAUUGGUUGCCCAUACUAGGGGGGAGGCAAGAGAAAACAAAAAACAAGUGCAAAUUGGCAUCAUUCCCAGGUAACACUACUAUAUUCCUUGGCUAUCUAGAAGGAUAUGAAAUUCAUAAAUUAAUAAAAGAACAAAAUUAUAUUUAGAUUCCAAACAUAGUAAUUAAUAAAAGAACAAAAUCAUAUUUAGGCUGUAAACAUAGUAAUAUUUCAGCCCAGAGUGAUCAUAUAAGGCAAAAUGAGUAUCAUUUGUAAGAUGUCUAGUCCCAAAUGGAAUUCUUUUACCUUGUCUUGAGUUUUACUACCAUCAGACUGAGACUGACUGAUUCAUUAUCAGAGGAAAAUGCAGAAAAUAGACAAAGCUCAAUUAGAAUAUUAAUUUUCAGUGUUGAAAUGAUUUAUCAAUCUUUGUUGCUUAAUAAAAAUUAGUAGUAUUGGAAGCCAAGGACUGAAUGUUUGGCUUGAAGAUUCUGUGUAAAAAAUGAAUGUGUAUAUAUCAGUUAUAUAUACAUUAUUUUUAAAAGAAAACAGUGUUUUCAGAAUUGUAUACUUUGGUAAGCUGAUAAGACCAAGAACAUUUCUUUGUAUAGUCUAACAACUAAACACAAAGAUUUUUAUAUAGUGAUAGUUGGUUUUCAGGACUAGAGGAUGUCAGAAUUAAUGAUCUGUGCUGAAAAUGCCUAUCUUGAAUUUCCAGUGGAUCUCCUCAUGGUUGAAUUUUAACAUUAUACCUCACUAAAUUGCAAUACAACAUAUAUCAUGUGAAUCUAUAAUCUAUUAGCUCAAAGACUACCUUUUAGGAGGUAAGUUUUAUUUUUUAAUUUUGAAUAUGUAUGAUAUAUACGCCAAAUGUACAUGUGUCCAUACAUUUUUGUUUUGCUGUUUCUGACACCCUGCUCUAACAACAGAUUUAAAAUGACUGACAAAAAUAAAUACAUAGUAAAGCAAAAUUCAUAAAUUAGAAGUGAGCGAUAAAGAUUAACAAAAUAACAAGGAUAAGGAUAUAAAAAUGGAACCAGUUGUGAAGUCAACCUAUUAACUAUAUUCAGUGAAGUGCUAUACAGUUGCCUUUAAACUUUCUUGCAGCCAAGUCAAAGAGAAAAGCAUGACAAGUUAUGUAAUUCACAACACCCUUAAGAAUAAUAAAAUAAUUUUCCAUCAUCCAUCACUAAAGCUCGAAAAAUGACAGACUCUGAGUUUCAGAGAAAUCAGUGCUAAGAUGCUAAGACAACUUUCAAUGACAAUAAUUAUAGGCUGCAGAAACCUGAAGGUCAGGUUAGAUGCAGAAACAGUACCCUCCUCGAGACAUGGAUAUGGAUGUAGACUAGAAUAAUCCCUUUUCAAUCCCAGGGCAUGAAUAUGUGGGAUUGUGCGGGAUGGGGGAUAAUAUUAGUGAUACAGUGUUUUUGAGGCCAAGAUCUCAUGCAAAAUAAGGAGUUAGGAGGGGAAUUUCAAAACUAUUUUAUAUAAAUAAAUGUAUCUUGUAACAGCAAAUCAAAGAUUUAGAAGGCUUCUACUUUUAUAAUAAUUACUGAAACACAUUUUAUCAAAUAAACCUUUUGAAUCAACAUUACUUUUCUAAAUUAUACAUAAAGCAGUUCUGUGUUGCUGCCAUUCUUCCACUUAUACUUUAAGAUGAUUAUCAGUCUUUGCAGUUUUUAAAAAGAGCCCUUUCUGGCUUCAAAUUUAAAUAUUUCUCACUCUUGCAUCCUCCCUUGGUUCAUUUUCAAAAGUCUUAGCAAACUGCUUAAUCUUUUCACAGGUAAUUUUGAUGAUUAAGUCCCAUUUAAUAGUCAAGUGUCUCCAUAUUGAAAUGGUGUGAAGCAUAAAGGUUUUUUCCCCCCUACUUUUCCUUGUAGCCUAACCCCUAGUAAGUAUUACAAGGAGCCCUGAUCAGGAUUACUACGGUGAUUCUUAAAAUGAACAUUUUUUUUACCUCUUUGCAGAAUUUCUGAAUCAAAUACUCUGAGGAUGGGGCCUAGGUCUCUGCACUUUAGGAAACUAUUUGGAUUAGUCAUGUUUAUUAAAGUUUUAAAAUCGGUAUUUUAAAAUUCUGACUUUGAAAUUUAUAGUAUGGGAAGAUAAAAUGGUAGGAUUUCCCUAUAAUUGUUGGUGAGCAUUCAUUAAAUUAACACAAACUAAAACACUAAUGCAUAUACAAUAAUAUGUUAUGAUUGCCUGCUAUUAAAACCAGAACAAUCUAAAGACUGAGUUAAUUUGAACUCAUUAGGGCACAUUUCACCAUUUUAUGAAACAUUUAAAAAUAUUUUUAGCCAUCAUUUAUUGAGAACUAUUAUAUGCUAAGUCAUAUUGUUGGUCUGGAUACUACAGAUACAAAGAUGAUUAAAAGAGAGUGAGUACUUUUCUGGAAAAACUCAUAACUAUGAUAAUUGUAUCAUCACUAAGAUAUUAUCUCCUCCAAAUUAGGAUAACUAUGAAUUUCCAUAUAAUCUCCUCUUUGAAUAAAAGUCAAGGUUCCAUGUUAUAUCAUGUCACUAUAAGUAUACAGUGGACCCUUGACUUACCCUUGAUCCAUUCCUAAUGUCUGGUUGUAACUAAAUCAAUACAGCUGAGAUCCAGAUGUUUACCUGACUACAUGCUAUAGAUAACAGAGGCAGAUGAAUCUUACAUUAACCUUAUUGAGCCAAGUUGUUCCUAUGUCAGGCUAGGCGUUACUUGAGGUUCCAUGUACACUCAUUAGCGAUUUCACGUAGUAGGACCCUACUGCAAUUUGGAAGGUGUGGAAUCUGCCAUUUUCCUACUGUGAGACUCUGUCUCCCAUAGCUGAGAUGGGAAGUGUCAUGUAGACCUGAAACAUUUCUUUCAUUAUCUGUCAGUGAUUUCUUACAAGGUUCCAUUCUGUAAAGAGGAGAGAAACAUGUGUGAGUGCACUAGACAUUAAGAAGACUCCCAUAUCUCCUUCCCUUGUCCUGCUGGUGGCUCAGCUGGCCUAUAAGAAAUGCUGGAGCCUAAAUAGUGGCAGCCUUUCUAGUUGAUAUGUCAGGUACAAUUGAAGGGCUCCAAGCUGCUCUCCCCUUGGAGCUCUUUUCUUCACAAGUUACAGCUGUGCUAGAAGUUGAGCAUAGACAGGCAAGAGGCCACAUGUUGCAGUAAAUGAAUUAAGUGUGUAGCCAGGCCGAGGAAGAGAAUGAGAGUUUUCUAUUUCAUUGAUGGUUUGUGUUUUCUUGGGAAAGUUUUGGGGAUACCCUCUCCCUUUAUCAUUUCCAUAACAGUAUGAAAAAUAUUAUGAGAACUUCAAUAUUUUUUCCUUUCUUUUCCUAACUGUCAACAUAUAUUUGUUGAGAAUUUAGUACUAUGCCCUGUUCUAGGAACAGGGACAUACUUCUGAAUAGUUAGUCAUAUAUAUAUAUAUAUAUAUAUAUAUAUAUAUAUAUAUAUAUAUAUAACUUAAUAGUUUCUACUUUCAUGAAGUUUAUAUUAUAAUUGGUAAAAAGGGAAUAAAAUUACUGAAAUAUAACAUAGAAAGUAAUAUAAGUAUAAAAUAAUAUACUUCAUUUUGAGGCAUUGCCUACUGGGUUCUGCAUGGCUUCUAAUUAUAUCUGCAUUAUUUCAUUUUGUGUGUAUAAUGUGUGUGUAUGUGUAUAUAUAUAUAUAUAUUUCUUCAGAACAUAGAUCAGUAAAUUUAGGACAUAGGUUUGUGGGAAGCUCCUGCACAUAAUGUAAGGGAAGACAUAAAUUACCUAGGACACAAGGUGUACAUAAUAAACCAUUAAAUUAUUCUUUUACAUCUCUUUACUUGUUCUAGGGAAUAUGUAUUUUGUAUUUUUUUAACUGACUGGUGGUCAUUCUGUAUGCAUAAGAAGUAGAUAAGCUAUGGAAUCAACUCAUGAGGAACUUAACCUACAGUCCAGAAGACUGAUAAUUAACAGCAGUAUAUAGAGGACAGAGUAGGGAGUGCUGUCCUAGAAGAGGUCAGGGAAAAAAACAAGAAAGCUUUCCCGGAGUGAAUUUUAAAUGAGGCUAAUACCCUAAAAAUAAGACUAAACAAAAAGAAUUUUUGAAGUUCUAAUUUUACCCUUGAUCCUUAAUGAGUAAAGCUUUCAUUUUCCACUAGUAAUAUGUGUUUCUGGUAGAAAUAUUUUAGACAAUAGGAAAACAUAUUAACUCACCAUUUAGGGAAACCAUUGUUAACAUUCAUGAGAUACUUUUUUGAACAUGUAUUAUGUUCUAGAGCUUAGCCAGUCAGCCACAAGUUCUCAGAAGGGAGCAUUUUAAUUGACAAGCAGCCUGAAUAGCAAUAGAAAAUUUGACUUGUGUUAGUUGUCUUCAAAUUUGGACUUACAGACCAAAUGGGCACCAACACUAGUGAUGUCAGUAGAACAACACAGUACAAUAUUCUUCUGAAGAAACAUCAAAACACCUGUCAUAACCUCCACCUAGAGCAGAUGUGAGAAUCAGACUCCUCUGGGUCAAAUCCUGGCUGUACUUUUCGAUCUGUAUGAUCCUAGCCAAGUUUUGGGCCCUCUGAAUCUCAGUAAAAUUAGAUUAUUAACCCAGAUGCAAUGUUUUGAAAAAUGAGUAAAAUAAUUCCUAUAAAGUGCUAAUCAUAGUUUGAUAUGUACCAAAGUAUUUUGUUGUUUUUGUUUGUCUGUUUUUUGUUUUUUUUGUUUUGUACCGGGGAUUGAACUCUGGUCCUUGCGCUUGCACAGCAGGCGGCGAAACCACUGAGCUAAAUCCCUGGCCCCUGUAGCAAAGUAUUUAAUAAAUACUGCCAUUACUAUUGUGCUUGCUAUUAUGAUUAUUACUAUUACAGUUAUUUAAUUACCAGGAAAAAUUGUUGAAAAUAUAUUUUUCCAGUACAAUAAUGUUACGUUACUGACAAUAUAAAUGAAAACACAUUUCCUACCGAGGAUGGGUCAGAGAUGCCAUCUUUGUAACACAUAUUAAAAAUCUGGGUUUUAUAGAUGAAAAUUAUAAUAGGAUUUAUCUCAGUAGAUUAAUGAUAUUUUGCAGACUAAAUUUGUUUCUAGGUAGAAAUGACGUCUAAAACUUCCUUAAUGCCUUUGUUGUUAAAGAUUUAUUUCAACAAUAUCUGAUUAACUUGUUUUAUUAAAAAGAAAUUUUAAAUUUGAAACCCCAAUAUUUUUUAGAUAAUGCCACAUUCCUUUAUAGAUAAGUGAUAGAAAAGCAGUAGAAAUAUAAUUUUACUUAAAUGGGACAUCAUUGGGAAGAAAACUCUUACUGUCAGAUCUCAACAUAUAGUGACCAAAGAUCACUAGUUUAGCAGGUACUACAUAGUAGGCACUUAAAAAUGUUUAUUGGAUUGAAUUAUAUUUUGUCAGAAACCUAAGCAUGUUCUGUUGGAAGUGUAAAUGACUUUAAGACAUUGACACAAUUGAAUUACAAUAUAAUUUAAAAAGUAGUUCGCAACAAAUUAUGUUCACUUUUUUAAAGUACAGACUGUCUUCAGUGUGAGAAGCAGAACUAUGUCAUGAAAAGAACAUAAACUGUAAUUGCACAGAGUGGGGUUGGUGUUGUUUAUCAUCUCCACUGUUUUCCAGUUAUAUCAUCGUUUACAAGUUUUUUUCUGUGUCUAAGUCCUCAAGUAGAAAAUGAAGUAAUAAUAUCCUCAUUGAGGUGUGUGUCUGGCCCUGGUAGAGUUCUUGGUAUAUAAUAGAGACUCUGUAAGUGAUACCUGCUAUCAACAGCAGUGACCAUGACAAUACGACAAGCCCUAUGUACAGUGUCCACAAGAUUAUUAAUAUAUAUUAUAUAUGAGUAUAUAAAUAACACUUGAAAGUGUGUUGUUUAGUGUGUGACUCCCAUUCAGAACCUAUAUAAAAAUUUUAUCUAUUUAGUUGCCUGCAUAAAAAGAUGGCUUUAAUUAUUUAGCUAAAUGAAAAUACAAUUCAAAAAUCCAAACUAAGUUAAUAUUUUGAAAACUUACAAUAAAAACAAAAGCCACCCCAGGAUUCGUAACUAAAAUAACCAGGUAAUUUUGGCUUAAUGCAAAUUAAAACCAGGGACAGUGCUCUACAUCAAAUGAUAAAAAAAAGGGGGGAAUUAACCUAGAAAACUCUUAGGUAGCCCUUGCUUUUGGUAGUAUUAAUUGGAAGCAUCUUAAAGAUCAAAAGGCUAUUAUAACUAGUUCCAGUGGUAGCUACAUAUGGAAUAUGGCUGUAGAGAUUCACAAUGUAAAAAUAGUUCAUUGCUAAAUUCGAAAUUCUGUUAAUGUCACAAACAGUAGGAUGUGAAACACAAAUGAAUUGUGAUGACAGUUGAGUACCAAGCUGCCUAUUUUUUACCCCUCAUAGCUGCCCAAAUUUGAUUUUAUUUUCCUCAGUCCUGAAUUAACCCAUCAAUAUUUGUACUUUCUAUAUCACCUUGGAACAUACCACUUUAGAAUUUUCUUCCUAAAUGCUUCUCACUUCCUAGGAAUUUUGCUCUUGCUGCUUUUCUUCUGACAGAUAUGUAUUUUUGAAUCUUUUUUUCUAUCACUCACUUUAGAGUCAGAUUUUUGAAUGCUUUUUUAACCUACAGAUUUCUGUGGCUGUAUAUUGCUCAUUACUUUUCCUCUUUUCUCAAGUGAUUUAAGUGGCAUUCUAUAAUGCUUGAUCUGCAGGCUCUUUGUAUAGGGCAUAUUUCUUCUCCAUAUCACUUUGACUUAGCACACUUGCUAUCAUCCUGAUAAUCUGCAUUAAUUUCCUACUAUCAUUUUUAAAAACCUGUUUUUUUAAAAAAAAUUUCCACUCUUACCCUUUAUACUAGGUCUUUGUGAUCCUGGAUUUAGGGAGCAAGACUUAUGAACCAAAUAAAUCUCCCUUUUAAAUUCAGCGUUCCACAUAACCCUAAGCUAGCUUGACCUUUGGGAAAUGUCAUUUUUAAAAUCUCUAAAGAGUAUUGCUGAAAUGACCAAAUUAUGUAGGCUUAAUGGGUUUUGUAGCAUGGAUAACAGACCUACCUUACAUAGCAACAGUCCUAGCUAAACAUUUUUUAUUUGGAUUUUGCUCCACAUGGUGAUUUGGCUGCCAUUUGCUGAGUGACCUCUCUAUGCCAACCAUUUUACAUUAAUUUUUAAAACAAUUCUUUGAAGUAGUUACAAUUAUCUUCAUUUAAUAAAUGAGAAAAUCUUGAACUGGUGAGGUUAAAUGACUUGUUAAAGGGUGAAACCUAAGAUUAUAAAACUCUAGAGCUCUUUCUGUCUCCAUUAUCACAGGCUAGUGCCUGGUUAUAUAUUCAUAUUAUUUGUAGUAGAAAGUUUGUAGUGUAAUUUGAUUGGGACAUAGUCAAUUUCAGCAGAACAAACAACAUGAUGACGAAAUUUUCUUGUUGUAUCAUUCUAUUGGAAUAUGAACUCAAGAUCUCCAGAAAGGAAACAUGAGUAUAGGCAACUUCCAGUGCUGCUAGCUUGUUUCAGGCAACAACAUAGUAUUAGUAAUUUUUGAAGAAAUUAGAACUUUAAAAAGUGGUUCUUAGACCAAAGAUUGCUGACUUCCCAUCAGAAGCCUCCUGUUAAUUGAUAUAGACUUCUUCUCCAAAACUAAAAUAUGCUGAUUAUUCUCAACAAAUGCAUUCUGUAGUCCUUUUUCCAAGCAAAUUAUAUUAAGAAUUGUAUAUUGUAAUUAUUUAGUACUUUUAUGUAAUGAACACAAUACAUUUUAAUCCAGUCAGAAUCAAUUUAUGUCUCCCUUAUGAGGCAUUAAAGCUAUUUUAUAUGUACUAGCACUGACAGUCUAGAAAAUAUGACAAAAACUAGUCAUUGUCUUUUUUUUUUAAGGUGAUCAAGGCUAGGGAUAUGUCAUUUGGCAAUAGUUGGCCCCCAAAGUAAAGCAGUAGUGAGACAGGCCUUCAGAUUUAGAGUCUCUACUUCCCACAGUUCUUGGCCUCGGUUUCCUUUUGCCUUUGUGCUGGUGGAUCACUGAGUUCAUCAGUGUACCCUCCAAACGCUGUUACCUUGCUUUGGACAUUGACUGGGAAUUUGUAUGGACAAGCUUAGUUUGUAAUUUUGUCACAGCCAUUUACUUCAUUUAUUUCAGAACCUCUCAGAGAAGCUUCUGAAAUGUCUCUGGAAUUUAGGGUGAAAUUUUAAUGAAAGAAAGGAAAAAACCAUAAAGACACCAGAAAGAAAGGCAGUAAAGAAACUAUAAGAAAAAUCUCUGGGAUCAUCUUCAAAUAUUCUCCUGAGGGGGGAAAACUAUAAAGCUUUUAGUGUAAAAUGUAAGGCUUUUGAGUCCUACCGCAGGUGCUUCCCCUGGGCUCCAUCUCUCUGGUCACAGUGGCUAUUCCAAUUUCUUUCUCAAAUUCUGACAGUUACCAAGUUUGAAAUGUUUUCACUGUUUUUCACUACUCUAAAUUUAAAAUGAGGUAGGUGUUUUUCUCUUUUACUUUUUGAAGAUUCAAAAUUUUCUUGUGUAUUUAUUAAAAGUUCCUAUGAAACUCUGCCCCAAAUCCUGUUUAUUAAGCAAAUAAGUAUUGCAACCUUUUAUAAAUCUAAGUACCAUUAGGAUUUUUACCCUGUCUCUGAAUGCUGAAUAUCUGUAACUUUUAUUUGGUUAUUUAAAACACUGAGUUCUGGAAGCAUAACUGAAAAUUAAAAGCUCUAAAAGAUUGGCAUUUUUUAAGUCAAAGUUUGCUGUUCUAGAAUCUAUUUGAAAUUGACUUUCUAGCAUGCUAUUUCUAACUAUCCUUUUCACAGAUGUAAGCAUUACAUAGGAGUUGAGCCAUAUUGAAAUAAUAUCAUAAAAUAUGGAGUAAAAUUGUACACAUAUACCAUAUGUCCUGUCCCAUCUCACUCCCCUGAAUUGCUGAUAUUGGAAAAUAUUUUUCUAAAAGUAGAACAUUAUUUGCUUGAUAAAUUUUAACAAUUGUGUGAAUUGCCAUUUUUGUUUGUGAAAAAUACCAGUCUUCUGAUCUCUUUUUCCUUUUAGUUGUACAUGGCUCAGUCUAACAAAUUUUGAAUAUAGAUUCCAUAUAGUUGUAACUCUAAUCAAACCAUAUUUGAAAGCAACAUUCUAGACUGUGUUUCUCUGCAAGCAUGACUUCACAAAUGAAAUAAAACCAAAACUCUUAUUAUAACAGAGAGUAAAAUGAAGGUAGCAACAGUCAUUUUGAAAACUGAUUUUAACAGUGAUUAACCACUAAUUUUUCAAAGACUGUGGAAGCCAUUUUGAGCUGUAGAAUGGAGAGGGGAUAAGAAAAAUCAAUACAAGGAAAAUGUAUCUGUCAUUAAUAAAGCCUAAAGAUACUGUUAAGACCAAUACCCUCUCCACCUUUCUAUUAUCACAUUCCACUGAAAAGUGUUGGAAAAAAAUCAGCCAGCUUCUACUAGAACUACAUGUCCAGAUGAGCAAGUCUGUAAAUAAUUAAAAGAAUAAACUAGAGUAGAAAAAACAGAGUGGGUAGGUGGUUAACCACUCAAAAUAUUGAAUAUGUCAAAACCAAAAAACUAAAAGAGGGAAAGGAACUUUUCUUCAAAAGAAGAUACUUUCCAUCCUUCACCAGAGACACAGAUUUGUAAAUGUGAUAACAGAAGCCCUUUGGAUAUGGUUGGUGGAAAGAACACUGUCUUCAUAAUGGCUUCACUAGGUAUUCAGUUGCCCAGGGCAAUUUGAUCAGAAUGUCCUUGUUUCUAAAAUUGUGUAAACCAAAUCAAGAUACAGGAAACAGAGUUUAAUAUUAACUUUUAGAACAAGGAACAGGGAGAUGCUUUUAUGCCAUAGUCCUGGUGUUCAUUCCAAUCUCAUUACUGCAGUGGGUUCUGAAAGCAUUUACAACUUUCUGCAGAGAGUGACUUUGGCUGAAUCCUGAAGAUGGAAAUAUAGCUUAAUGACCUGGAAUAUAGAGUCUUCCUUAAUACAGAAUGUUUCACCAUCACUAACUUGAUAUUCCUCACAACAUUUCUGGCUGGCCUGGCCUCCUAUGACCAGAGACUGCUGACUCAUCCUGGCCUGUGCCAAGCUGUGCAGUCGCUUAGUGAUGUGGACAGGAGUCGAAGGACUAGAAUGAGAUCACUGAACUCAUUUCACUUGUUGCUUACGGUACAGUCCAGCAUGAGCUGGAAAUGUAGGAACCUCAGCCUCCCGAGCAGAAAGACACUCUGGAACACUGUGAACUCGACAAACUAAUCAGAGCAGGGAGUUUAACGGCCUGGCCUGGACACUCUCAAGAGACUGUGCUGAUUCUCAGUCAUCACUCCUUGGAUCAGGAACCACAGUCCUGGUGAGUUGUGAGGUUCCAAAAUUUGAUGUGUCAAGGAUUCUGUUCUUGGUGUCUCUGAGGCAGGCAGGAAAUAAAGGGUGUUUUUAAAAACAAAAACAUAAUUUCUUAAAGAAAGCUAGCAAACAGAACGAUGAAGAUUUCUAGUGUGCAAAGCUGAGAGCACUCUGGACAAUGGCAGAGGCUGGAGUCUAUGCUCAAGAGAGGCUGCAGGCAUAGGUUUUAUACUGCCACACAUGGCUGUCAGCCUUGACAUGCCUAGCAAACAUGCUUGUGGAAGAAGAGAGAUAGGUGGGGGGAGGGGGAGGGAAGCAGUAUUCAGGAUGGUAGGAGGGGAAAUGAAAGUGGGAUUAAUUGUAUAUUUGAAGUUUCCCUCUACCAACUUUUCACGUAUCUCUGUUCUCAACAUUUAUGUUGUAUUCAGAGCACCUACAUGCCCAGCUAAACAGAACAAAACAAAACAAAACAAAGCAAGAACAUAUAUAUAGUAUUUUUUACUGAUACUAUUCUAAAGAUCACUUUGGUAAGAACUGGUUGCUUUUAAAUGUUAGGAAACCUCUCUCCACCUGACCCUUAAUAAAAUAUUAUUUGUCAUACCCUUUUCUUUGUUCAUCUACAUUCAUGGUAUUCAGCAAGAGAAUGCAGUGAGAAUCCUUAUUUGGUCCCAGGGAAAUUCAUCAUCCUGACAUAGGAAAACUAGAUGACUGUCCUGAUGGUAUUAAACACAAAUAUAGUAUUGUCCUCAAUAUAAGAGACUCUGAUUGAGUAGGCUCUGGGAGUUGUCAAAGGAAUGGAAUGGGAGGAGUUGUAUCCUAUCUGAUAGGAGUCUAGCAGAGGAGCCACCAGUUAAGCUUUCACAGCCAAUAUGAGAAUUCCGUAUCAUUCCUAAUAACUCUUACUCUCCCUGGAAGUGAAAUGUCAGGUGGAGGGUAUGCUUGUCUUUUACCAUCAGAUCCCUAGUUAGUGCUUUUCUCCAGGUAUUUAAUCUUAUUGUGCAUUCUUGUCUCCUUUCUAAUUUCAAGAAUCUGGCGUGUUCCAAAAUAUUCUGUGGGAAAAAAACCAAAAAAAUAAAAACCAAAAAAAAUGGUGGUCAUAAAAGCAUUUGACUGUGUGGCAGCAUCUGAAGUGAAUUGCUCUUUGGAGAGGGGAAGGAGCCUUUGAUGUCUCCAAUAUGGCUCUCAUAGGCGAAAACUUCCCAGAACCACAACCCAGCCUAAGGGGCACUAACUCGAUGUUCUUAAAUAUUUGAAAAGAGAUGCUAUUUUGUUUUACUUGUCUUUGCUAUUAACACAUUGCCAGUAGAUUCCUUCUAGAGUUAGAAGUGCUUUAGCAUUAGUUGAUUUUACAUUUAACCAGAUGUGUAAUGUAUAUGCCUAUUGUGUGUACUCUUGUCCAAGCUGGUGCAAUGAACCAAUAUGUAACACUGGUACUUCGCUGUGGAAAAAAAAAAUCUUUGUUACUCUGGGCAGUUCAAAUUCUUAAUCGUAGAACUCACGAAUGCUCAUAUAUUCCAAGUGCCUUAUGGAGACUAACCCCUGCUACAGCCUCAUCAGGGUCUGUCAGUAACCUUUAGGACAAAGAGUCUCCCUCUUAGAGCAAUUCCUUAAUUUGUGAGAUUUAUCAAAUUUCUCAGCCAUUGCUGUCAUAGGAAGCAGUUUUAUUAGGUCUACUAUGCCAAAAACUGAAUGUACUCUAUUCUACAAUAGUAAAGCUUAUCCAUUUCAGUUAGCCCAUGUUAGUUAUGACUGCCUCACUAUUGACAUAUAAUGGUUCUUCCAUUAUUUCUCUUAUUUUCUAAAGAAAUAAGUUGGGGGAAAUGGUUUAAAAAUUGUUAAACAUAGUGUAAAAAUGGAACUAACUCUUAGGCCAUGACUGCCAAGAGUUACAUAGGACAUUGUGCCAAACUCCUUUAAGGAUAAGACUACUCAAACUCCCAGCAAAAAUGUCUCUUAGUCCCAGGUAGGGCCUUAUGAUCAGUGUGGACUAUGUUGAAGCAACCUAGUUCUCUUAACACUUUGACAAAUUUUUAUUCUAGAAAGCUACAACUGCCUAGAAGACAUGAGGCAGAGAAUAGGCAAAUACCAGUAUCUGAGAAUACCAGUAUGUUCCAAGAAAUGACAUUUGAAAAACCUAAUCUGCCUGAGAGAUUUUCCUUAUGGUUACUAUGAUCUGAAAUUCUACAUGGUCGUGGAAGAAUUUCAUGGCUAAGUUGAAGUAUAUAAGAAGUCAUAAACAAAACACUGUGUUUCUUUGAGUUUAUAUGGGUAUAUUGAUAUUACCUGAUUUUUUUAAGUACCUAUGUUACACAGUAUACAAGCAAUAAUUCAAUUUUCCAGUGUUCAUCUGGAAAAUUUAAUUUCAUUAAAUUAAUGAGAAUGUAUGUUUUAAGGUAUGUAUGUUCUUGCAUGUGUGUUUUAGAUGUAAGCACUUUGUAUAUUAUAUUCAUUUGAUUAGACAGUUAUAGUUAUAUGCAACUGAAAUUCUAAAUAACAAAAUUGUGAUCACCCCAAUAAGAAAAUGUUCUUCCUCAUUUGUAUAGGAAUGCUUUUUUAUAUUUUUGUAAUACUCUAAGAAAGAGACAUAUUUUUAAAAUUUAAAAAGGAUUUAUUUAUUGUGUCAUAUGAUUGGGUAAAUAUAUCAUCUUAGAAGUGCAUAUAUGAGUAUAUAUAUAUAUGUAUGUGCAGAAUUACAUACUUAUAUUCAAAUAUUUGAAAUAUGACCAAAUAUUAGCCAUAAUUAUUUAUGAUUUCAACAAAAUAUUUUUAAAAUUGACCAGAAGUGAAGUGCACAUUUUAUCACAUUGAGAAGGUGGAAAAUUUACACAAAUAUUUUUGAAGAGUAUCUGCAAAAGAAAGAUUUGAUUAGUUGAUAAGUUUGGUAAUUACCUUCUUUUAAUAAAUAGGUCAGAUUAUAAACUUAAAUUCUAUUAUAUGCAACUUCAAAAUGUUAAUUGCUAUAUCUAUAAAGUAUUAAAGUUAAGGAAGAUGUUGUUAAUAAUUAUCUUAAAAUUGAGAAUAUAUUUAAUGAAUUCACUUUUGUGAGAAUACAUAUACAAAUGACCCAGUUUAUUCUAGUUUCUCAGCCACUUAAUUCUAUAUUAAAUACCUUGACACAGUACUUCAUUUACAUAUCAGCUUCAGCAACUAUAAUUUUCCGGAUAUCUUUGUAAGAUAAACAAGUCAUAUCCUGUGAAGUCACACUUUGUCUCUGAAGCUUUCCAUGAUAACCCAAACUAAAAGUGACCUGACAAUUAUAGUAUUUUAAAAAUUAAAAUAUAUCAUUUAUAUGCUGCCUUGAAUUGAAAUUUGUUUAUGUGUAUAAAACUGCAAGUGGUUAAAGAGCAGAUAUUGUAUUUUAUGUUUAUUUCUGUCUUCAAAUUGCUUCAUUGAAUGGAGGAUCACUGAAUAGGUGAUGAAUGAAUGAAUGAAUCUCUACAUGUCAGGGCAUCAACAGCAAAUACAUAUUUAUCAUAAUGGAAGAAACAUAUCCAGAAAAAGAAACCAAUAGAUUCUUCUUUCAGCCGCUCAAAAACCUCAUAUUAGAUCUUUCAACUAGUUGUUAUAGCCAUCUCCAGCCUUUAGCUGAGGUAGAUUAUCUAAUCCCCAAAAAGCUUAGGUAAUUUCUGAUGAAACAUGGGGGUUUUGAAUUUAUGGCAGUCCAUUCAUUUCCUAGGACUUGUGAGGGUGACCAAAUACCUAGCUUAGUUUGCUCAUGUAAUUUGAACUACCAGACUUACCUAAAAUGUAUUAUAUUAAUGAAAAGGCCUCUCCAGGUUAUAAAUAUUUGCUUACACCAAGUCAGUAGUUCUUCCUUUCCUCAAACUCAACAUCUAAGGAACUCAGGCUGAUGUCAGAUGCAGAAAUACAUAAAGACUGGCUAUAAAUGCCCUGUGAACUAGACAGAGAAGAGGCAGGGCAGACAGCACAAUAUAGAGCAGAGGCAAGAGGACAGGCAGCCAAAUCAUUUGUACUAUCUUAACGAGCACUAAUUAAAUGCCCUGUUUGAGAUAAAUAAUAGCUGAAAAUAGCCAAGCUCAAUUGUUUCUGAUCAAUGAGUAGAGGAAUUGGUAGAAUUGCUUGGUGCAGCUUUUAUCAUUAAGCCGUAGCACACUAAGACAUCUUCAAAGGAGAGGGACAAAGGAAAGUUGAGCCAGUCUGUACUGUACCAUUUGCCAUGUCCUCAAUCCAGCACCAAAAAUAGUACCCUGCUGAUAUAAAUCAAUCACAUCCAGAGAAUAACUUCAUGUAUUACAAACUAACUCUAAUAAACAAUAAUUAAAAGAAACAAAAAUAUUGUGUAAACUAGGCUUUAAUAUCAUCUGUUAUCAGUGAUCAAUUAAGUUGACAAUCCCCCAACUACUCCUGAACCAAACCAAAUUAUAUUUCAGAGCUUCUAAUACAUAUAUAAAAGGGAUAUUUGUUUUUAUUUCUUCAUUUUCCUUGCUUACUCUCUAGUAAACUGAAUUCCUAGAUAUAAGCAGCCAGAGGGAGAAAGAGAAUUAAUUCACAUAAUAAAUAAUUAACCCUUGAACAAUAUAAAGUUAACUCUCCAAAGACAUGCCAAAAACUGAACUGUUUUUGUUGUUGAAUUUGUUCUCCUUUGGGUGUUAACACAUAGAGGACAUUUCCAUUAGCACAAACUUGGCACCAUACAACCUGUUCGUCCUCAAGCUAUAAAUACCACACUCACCUUCCAGUUCUUUCUGGCAGGAUUUGUAGUAUAAUGUCCUCCUGGGUAGUCAUGUACAAAUCACUCCGAGGGCAAAAUUGUAUGAGUGCCUAAUCCACUUUUGAAAAUGAAAGAAAAGGAUCUGUUUUAUGAAAAACACCAAACACAGAAAGACAUAAAUUGUAAUAAAAAGUGUUAGCACCUUGCACCUCCUCCUAAUUGCCUUCCCAGGCAAGAGGAAACAAAAUAGUAUAAUAAAUGUUAGAUCAUAAGCAGAGUGCAAAGAAUGGACUCUGCCUUUCAAUAGUGAAUUGAACAAAAAAGAGCAAACUUUAAGCCAUCUAUGUAUAUUUAGUUAAGGAUCCUAAAUUAAGGGACUUAUCUAUCUCAUUUGUCUAAGGAGGAUGAUAGUAUCCCUUGACUCACUAGUAUUGUUCCAAAGAUCAAAGUAUAAAUAGACUAUUUCUCCAUUACAUUCAUUAAAACUACACUUAACAUUCAUCCAUGAAAAUUUUUUUUUUUUUGGUAACGGAGAUCGAACUUGGGACCUUGCACUUGUGAGGCAGACGCUGGAACCACUGAGCUAAAUUCCCGGCCCACGAAACAUUUUUGAACCCCUAUAGUCAGUUAUUUGUCUAGAAGCUAAAAUUGAGUGAUUUAUUAACAAAUAUUUAUUGAGGAAUUCAAAAUAUGUGCCAGGCUGAAGAUCCUAAAGUUAAUAAAAAAAAAAAAAACAGAAGUCUCUGUUCUCAUAGAACUUAUUUUCUAAAGAAUGAUAAACAAAUACAGUGCAUAUGUAAAAUAUGUAGCAGAUUACUUGAGGAUAAGUACUGUGGAGAACUGUGGAGGAGGACAGAAAGAAAGAGAGGGCUAAGGCUGCACUUUCAAGUAGGGUAGAAUGGAAAAGUUUCAUUAAGAGCACAGUGUUUGAGAAAAGACUUCAUUAAGGGCUAACCAAGUUAAUGGCUAUCUAGGCAAGAAUAUUCAGCAGUGGAACCAUCAGCUGCAAAGGCCUUGAACAAGAAUGUGUCUGGUUGAUCUCAUAGAAGUUGAGCGAAGAAUGGUUAUUUGUCAGAGGCCAGGGAGAAUAGGGGAGAGGAAGGAAUGGGGAAAGUUUGAUCAUUGGAGACUAAAUUGCAUUUAGAUAGGAACAAGAAGUUCUGGUGUGCUGUUGCCAGUGCCCUGACCAUUGAUAACAGUUAUGUAGUGUAUAUUUUAAAAGCUAGAACAAAGGUUUAUUUUAAAAAAAUGUUUUCACCAUAAAGAAAUGAUAAAUGCUUGAGGAGACAUGCUUAAUCUGAUUUAAACAUUGUAUAUAGUAUACAUGUAUUGAAACCUCAUGGUAUCCCAUUAGUAUACACAGUAUAUGUUUUAUAUAUUAGUAAAAAUAAAUUUAAUUUAAAUUUUAAAAUAAAUUUUAAAACUCAGAUAAAUACAUAUAACAAUAAAGUGCUAUACCACACAAAAAGGAUAUAUCUGCCUAGACACCAUGGCACAUGCCUGUAAUUCCACCUACUCUGAAGGAUGAAGCAGGAGGAUCACAAUUUCAAGACCUGCCUGGGCAACUUAAUGAGACCACGUCUCAAUAUAAAUUUAAAGGGACUGGGGAUAUAAUGUAAAAUAUAUAAUUGUUACGUAUUUAUAUUUUUAUGUUUAUAUUUUAUAAAAUAUAAAAUUUUAAAGGGACUGGGGAUAGUGCCAAGUUCAAGACCCUGGAUUCAAUCUCCAGUACUGGAAAAAAAAAAUGUAUCUUGCAAGUUUGAGUGAUUAAGGAAAUCUAGAUGGCACGAUUAGAUUGGGCAAACAGAAGAUCAAAAGAUGUGGUAAUGGAAGCAGUGAGGGACUCCUCAACUAGGUCUGUAUGUGCUCUUUGAAGGUUUUGGCUUUGUCACCAACAACACAGAGAUUAAAUAGGACACAGCCUUAAAUUCCUUUCCAUAGGAGAGAUAGAAAAAAACUCAGAAUAAUGUGGUAUGCUGAAUAACAUACCUGAAGGAUGUUCAGGAACCUGAGAGGCACAAAAUAGUGACUAUUUAGCCGAAUGUAUCUUAGAGUGAAGAGUCAGGGAUAGUUUCACAGAAGAUGUAAUAAAUCCUUGCUGGGCCUAAAGGAUAUUCCCAGGUGGUCAGAGGGAGGAAGAUAAUUCAGUAAGGGGACUAGGAGGGCCAAAGGUACUUUAAUAGGAAACAGUAUUGUGGAAUUGGGGAACAGUAUCACUGAUGUUUAGCAGGGGAGUGGGAAGAAGUGAUGCUGCUGUAUAUGUAGGCAGGGAACAAUCAGGUCGGGCCUUGAUUGCCAGGCAAAGAUGUUUUAGCUUCAUCUUGUAGCAUUUGGGGACCCAUUGAAAGGUUUUAAGUAGAGAAGGUUAAUGAUCACAUUGCGUUACAGAAGAUCACCCUGGCAGCAGAGUGGACGAUAGUUUAUAGGAGUGGGAGAAUAGAGGCAGGGAAAUGAGUUAGGAGACAACUUAAAUUGUUAGGACAGGAAGCAAUGAAGCCCUGAACUAGGACAAUAACUAUGGGAAUAGAUACAAGAGGAAGAGACAUGUUCAAGAGAUAAGAGGCUGAAUAGACACAAUUUAAUAACCUUUGGGCUGGUCAUCAAGAGAAGAAGGAAUUUUCGAUUGCUCCCAGGUUUCUGCCUUAUACAACUAAGCAAGAAAAGUGAUUAGCAGUAGAUCUUAUACAGAGAAUAAAUUUGCUUUUGAAGGUAUUUAAUUUGGGGGGGUUAGGGGGGCCUCUAGACUAAUGUCAGGUAGGUACUGUAGUUGGAUUUAGUCAGAAAUACUGGAGAGAGGUCAGGAGCAAAUACAAAAGGUUGGCAAUAUUCUGAAACAUCAGCGUCAUGGUGGGAGUUAAAAUUAUGGAGUGGACGUUUCUCCAGUGAUAUAUAUGGAAAGAUGACAAAAGAAAGCAGAUCUUGGGCUGGGGAUUUAGCUCAGUGGUUCCACCACCUGCCUCCUAAGUGCAGGGUCCCGAGUUCAAUCCCCAGUACCAAAAAAAAAAAGCAGAUCUUUGGAGUACACCACAUUUAUAGAACGAAGAGAGAAAGAGGAGGCUUCAGAGAAGAUUAUGUGCUAUUUAUUAUGUGCCAGUCACUAUGGUAGGUGAAGGGGGAGCCAAGAUGAUUGGCCCUAGAUCCUGCCCCAGAAAUACCCACAGUUGCAUAAAUAUUAGAGGUUGUUUUUACUAUCACCAUAGGACAAAGCUACCAGAGGAAAUGCCCAAGUGUAAUAAUGAAAGUUGUACCAAAUAUUUAAUUAGCAUCAGGGACAUUUUUAUAAAGGAAGAAUCCUAGAAAGUCCGUUGCUUGCAUUUUUGCUAUACAGUUCAUUUCUGAUUUCUCUAAUGCUUGUAUGUGUAUGUUCCAGUGUUAGCAUGGGUUCAAGCUAUUGGCAAAACAAGCCAGGUGUAAAUUAUGGUAGAAUUGAAAUCGAUAGCGCUUUGAAGCACUGGAGUGCCCAGUUCACAUCAGGGCGUGCGUCUGUGUUCACUGAAACGUGGCUAUCAAGUGCACCCCGAGUCAUUAGAUGUGUUAUCCAGUGAAUAACAGCAUAAUGAUAUUUUAGCAGAGCAGCUUUAUGAUAAAUUCUGCUUUAGUGAAACCCCAUAUACAGAGCAAUUUCUCCUGGCCGUGUACAUUGCAUGGCAAAGAAAGGAUACCCUGCUGCGUAUCAGAAGGCUGUAAUUUCAUUUAGGGGUUCUAUUGACAUCGUAAACUGCAAGAGCAGAGCUCAAGUGGCUAUUUAAGUCAUAGGAACUUCAAGCUAAAAUUACUGCCUGGUCCUAACCGCCACCUCCAAGGGACUCCUGCCUAUACAUGUAUGCUUUAUGUUUCUAUCUUGAUGCCUAUAAAUACUAAGUCACUCCAGGGGCUGAGGUGAUAAGCUGUCCUAAAAUAUGACAGAUAUCUGUCACCUUUGUAGCUGUUACAUGCUUAAGGGCUAAAAGCAGUUAUAUUAUUGAUUGAAGGUCAAAUGAUAAAAGGGGCAAGACACCAGCUGCCCCUACCCCCACAGGUUCACUGUACACAUGUUCCUCUUUUUAUGCUUUAAGAUACUUUCAAAUCAAGGUCUUCCAGCAUACUGAACCUAGGGGAAAAAAAAGAAAUUUUAGGUUUAUCUGUACAGUAGCAUUUACAGCCUGUGUGUUCUUGCCCUAUUCCUUCCCCCUUUGCCUUGACAUAUACUCACUUGUGAAAAUAACAGUACUAGUCUUAUUCCGUAAAAUACAAGUUAUAUAGUAUCCCAUGAAAUUGAUUUCCUAGAUAUAUAACAGGGACAUUGAGAUAUAUUCAAAUAAAAAACAGGAAGCCAUAAUAAUUUAGCUCAAUGUUUAUGCUCUAAGGAAUUUCAAAUUGCUGAAGAGUAUUUAUUAGAUGAUCCUUUGGACUUGUCUAAUAAGGAAAAUGCAAAAUUAAAUGUUUCUCUUUGGAUUUAAUGAAAAUUUCAUGCACAUGUCCCUACAUGAACAAACAACUUUUUCAAUAGAGGGUUGUACAAAAUUGAACCACAGUUUAACCUUCUGUAGUCAUUAUGCCAAUGGUGUUUUACUUGGUCAUUCUCUUUCCUGGUCUUAGGAUUUAUUUGUCUACAUUCUGUUUUAAUAAAAAUACCAGCUGAUAAUGAUGGAAUAUAUGACUCUUCAUAAUGUAACUGUUUUUUAAAGUCAUCUUGUUAAUCCUUACACCGCCCUGUAGAGAAGGGAAGACAUGGAGAGGAAGGAGUCCACUCACUGAACUGACUGAAGCUAAAAUUUUUAGUUUUUAUGUUAGCCUGUUUGUUGUUCCAGUACUUCAUCACAAUAUUUUUUGUUGCUUAAAUACUACAAUUAAAAAUAAGGUCUAUAAAAGCUAAAUCUCUCUCAUCUGUUACCAUGAUACCUUCGUUAUAUACCUAAAUAACAUAAUAUGCCAUUGUCAUGUUUCUGAGAAGGGCUACUGCUCUGCUAAGAAUAUCCUCAAAUCUUGUGUUAUCUACGGAAAUAUAAAGCAUACAUAGUAUGUGGACAGAGCUAAGCCUCGAAAUGAGGGAUUGCAACUCUCUUACUGUUCUCCCUAGUUUAGCAUGUAUAUCAGCGUGAUUAAGAGUGUAGACUUAAGAGCUAUGUGACCUUGGGAAAGCUGUUUAAUUCUCAGUGCCUCAAUUUUUUAAUCUGUAAAGGAAUGGGAGGAGAAUGCUAGUCAGAAGUUAAUUUUUACCAUAAAAUUUGUGUGAGGAAUAAAUAAUCUAAUGUAAAAUAUUUAAACCAGUAUCUGACGUAUAGUAAACACUCAAUAAACACUUGCUGCUGUUUUCAUCAUCACAAAUAUCAUCCUUCUCAUCAUCACUUACUCCUGUGCUAUAGGAUCAUGGUUUAUAUGUUAGGAAAAGACCUACAUCCAUAGACAAGACACACACACACACACACACACACACACACACACACACGCACCCCACAUACACAUACACCUAGGAAUGCUUGCUUGGCUCACUUGUAGGCUGAAGCUUUACCUAUAUGUUAAUGUCAUCACCCUAAUCAGAGAACAAGGAGUCCAUCCUUUGGAUAAAAUGUGCUUGGUACUGAAUUUAGCCUGAACACAGUUUCAAGCCCUUGAUACAAAAUCAGUCCAUUGCUGGGCCUCAGUCCUAUUACCCUGCCCACACUGGUUGCUCUCAUUUAAUUGCUUGAGCCCUUCAUGCUUAUUUUCUUUCAAAACUACAAAUUCUGUUAAGCAUGGUCUAAUCCAGGUCUAUUGAUCCAUUCACCAUUAUAUUUCCAGUCCAAUAAAUAAAUAUAGGAAAAUGAAUGAAUGAAUGAAUGCCUCUUUCAUUUCCAGCCUUCUGCCUUAAUCCGUAGUCCUGGAUGCCUGAUGUGCUAAAUGCUGACCUUAUUUUCUACCUAAGCCAAUCUAUUCACUAUUUUCAGUUAUUCCCAGUCUUCUGGUCCAAACUUUCGUAAUUACUUUGGUUUUCUUGCCGGAUUCCAAACACUCAAAAGCAAUAUGCAGUCAAUAUACCAACCCUGCCCACUGCUUCUUCUAUUCCUUCAGGAAACCAUGAAUACCACUCUUAUGCCUCUUACUGUGUUUUGCUUAUGUUCCCUUUCCUUUGGAAUAUGAAUUUUAGUCUUAUAAAUGAUUCAUUAUCCAUCUGCAUUUUAAUCUGAUGCCCUUGGUUCGAACCUUGAUUCUGAUCAUGUUAUCCUUCUCUCAAGGAUGAUACAGUUUUUAUAGUUUCAUUGCUGAGAUUAGUAAUUAGAUACUAAAAUCAACUGGAUAGAAAUUAUUAGCCUAAUAUUUUGCAUCCAAAAAGCAAUAAAGGAUGGUAGUGAAUGUUCAGAAAUCUGCAUCAUGGUAGCCUACAAUAUAAAAGUAUAUGGAAGACUUCAAGAUAGAGGAAGAACUUUAGCUGCAAAUCUAAAAGCUUGACAUUGAAGGAUGAAGAAAUAAAAGGACUUUAGAAGAGAAGCGAAGUUGGUAGCCAUUAGUGUGAUUUGGAAAAAAAUAGGGAAUCAGGGAGAACAGAGAAAAAUUUCAACCAGUUGGAAUGAAGUACGUAGAGGAAGUAGUGAAAUUAGAAAUGAAAUCUACAUUGCUGGCUAUUAGGAUAUGAACUUGCAAAGUCAGGUGGACUCCAGCAUUUACCCUUUGUGAGUGAUGAGAACAAAGACUGCCAUAUAGUUACAAUGCAAUAAUCAUUUGCUAAAUAAUUGAAACAUUUUACAGAGGCAAGCAAAAAUAAUGAAAGCAGUGUUUUAGGAGUUAACCUGACUACAGUGUACAGAGCACAUUGAGAGGUUUGAGACCACUUAAAGAUGCUGCCUGAGAAGCAGCUCUAGUAACUUAGAUACAAAAUAAUAGAAAAAUCUAAUAAAUCAUGACUAAGAAAAUAGUGAUAUUUCAGAAAAUAUUAACAGCACUUUCCUAUGUUUCUUCCCUACCAGCCCUAAUCCUAGUCCUGCCUAACUGUAAUUUUAACUGUAAAAUACUUUCUAAAUGCCUGGGUUUCUUUGCCUUUAGAUGUGAUUUUAGUGAAGUCUAUUACCCCUCAUGGGGCAGGGCUACGUUGAACACUGAGCUCUCAGGCUCACUCCAAUCUCUAACCAGAGUGAAUUGUAUCGUUUUAUGUUCAUAAACAACUCUCAGAGUUUGACAGCUUUGAGCAUAAACUCAGAGGACUCAUGGACUUUUCUAGGUUUCUGUUUAUGAGUGCCUGAUAUGCAAGACUCUACCAGAGAUUUUGCACACCAUAGAGUGCUGCACUGCACAGGGGGAUUCUGGAGGAGCAUUCAUUCCAGGUUCUUAAAUAUACUGUCGGUGUAGUUAAGAUGCCAUUCAACUAGAUCAGCACCAAAAGGAAACUACAGGAGAGAGCAUAUUCCAGCAGAGAUUUUAAGACCAUACCAAGCUCUGUCAUAACUCUGAGACAUUCCUCAAAAUCUCAAUAGUACCUUGGGACUUCCUGAGAAAUAGUGCUCAUUAAAUUGCUUUUACUAUAUGCCUAGUUCGCCCAUCUUUACCUUCAUGCAUCCAGUUUCCUUCUUGGAUAGUUCUGACACUUUUGGAAGACUAAGAAUUCAACCAGUAUAUGACUUCUUUAUUCUGUAUGACUUCUAUUGAUCAAAAGUUACAUGUACACUUUUCCUUGUUCCUCUCUUAAGGCAAGUAACCUAUUUUUUGGUUGAGUGAGUGCCUUCCACUGUGUCUUUCUAGGCGGGACUCUGACUUAGUUCUCUUUACCUUCUGGGAUCAACAAAUAUAUCCCACAAUAGAUCACAGUGUAUAUCUGUAGACUCUUCUGACUUCAUGGAUUUUAAACAUGAGCAGACCACUAUGACUUUUGCAUCCUACAUUCUGGUUUUUUUUGUUUAUUUGUUUGUUUGUUUUUAGUACCAGGGAUCGAACUCAUGACCUUGUACUUGAGAGGCAGGCAUGGUGCCACUGAGCUAAAUCCCUGGCCCUACAUUCUGUUUUUAUAAUGUGGAAGGUGCCUGCUAAAUGCCAAACUCUGCUACUUCCCCAGCUAGUCAGUCUCAGACCUAAUUUUGCCCAUCAGUUGGGAUAGAGAAUGUGAAAUUGCCACCUUUGCUUGUCAAACCUGUACGUUUGCACAGUGCAGAGUAGCACCACUUACAGGAAGAGUAUUUGGAAAAUUAAGCAGGGAUUGUGUGAACAGGAGACCUAUCAUCAUACACUGGAAUGACAGGAUUCUGCCCACAAACUGGGGUUAAGACCUACAUAUUGAUGGUCCUUUUCACCCAUUUGUGAGUAAUGGGUCUCACCCCAUUAGCGGGUGCAUGUGUUACACAGUAGAAGCUGUUAUGCAUUCUCUGUAGGUCUGUGUGAGGGAACUGUAGAUACACAUAAAUGUGUACUUGUUGACAUAUCUACAUAUUUAUCUGCCUGUUCGUAGGAGCAGACAGGGCAUGGCUCUUUGACAGGCAAGAACUAAAGGUCGAUGCUACACUCUUGCUGCUGCAGCCUCUGCUGCUCCUGCUGCUGCUGCCGCCAUGGCUGUGGUCGCUGUGGCUUUAUCAUUUGACUCCUGGAGGAGGCUGGCGCAGCUUCUUACUUGUUCCCACCUAUCCUGGAAGACUGGUGCUGGCCUCUGAUAUAAUUAAAGACACCUGUAAAAUGUUGACUCCUAAUGUUCUUAUGGCCAACAGAGAUGGACUGUCCAAAGUAUGCUCACCUACCCUAAUCUAUAAUCUAUAUUCUUUCAUUUGUUUCUCAAGAGUCCACAUAUCUUUGCUAUCUCCAGACACUGUUUGUUAUGCUGUUUUGAUGCUGCCCUAUAAAUGUAUUUCCUGCUGCAGGAUGCACCCUUCACUGUGUCUUAGCCUCUGCCCCACUCAGGAGACAAAUUCUUUCCCAGUAGGAAAAAUUAUUACGCUUCAAGCUUCUAAGGAAAAUAGUCAACUAAACAAAAUGCUUAUUUUAGCAGCACUCAUCCCCCUACAGCUAUACACAUCACUGACCUUCAUAAUCUCACUCUAUAGUAUUCCUUAUGAGGAAAAGGAUUUUUUUCCCCAGAUUUUAAGAUUAUUUUGAUAGUAAACUGAAUUUAAGGUUACAUUGUAUAUAGUGGACCAAGACAGGGAAACAGACUUGUGUUUUGAAUGUAGGCCCAAUUGCCAGUUUAAUUUGAUAAUAGAAAUUAAUUGUGCAAUCCUGAAUGUAACUACAAUACACCCACAAUUAACAGGUUUUUUUAUAGUCAUUGUCCUUCCCUCUCCUGCUUAAGAGGACAUAGACCAUUUUUCCCAAAAAUUCAAUUUUUCUCAAGACUGUGGAAUUAUUUCAAAAGAAGUAACAGGAAUAUUUUUGUUUCUUCGUUAGUUGGUUUGAUAUCUAUUUAAUAGACGGAUAAAUAAAGGUACCCAGAAGUGAGUUCAUCUUAGUGUUUCUGACAGUGUCUUUCUAAAACAUAAGUGUAAAAAGGCAGAAGAGCUUUUUCUCAGACUGAAUUGGUGAAGAAACAGACUAACUUAAUCAGAGAUGAGAUGAUUUUAAAGGGCUUAUUUCUGUGUUACAAAAAGGUAUGAUGCAGAUGUUUCACUAAGAAGGACAAAUACUAGGCUCAAAUGCAGAGAUCCUUUUUCCUGCUUAUUUUUGUCUAGGUUGCUUUGUUGUUGUUGUUGUUGUUGUUGUUGUUGUUGUUAAUAUUAAUAUCCUUGGGAUGAAAAAAGGCAGACUGAUUUUUCUAAAGUCACUUCCAACAGGAGAGAAAUUAGUAAUCUAAUCAACCGUACUGACAAACAAUGAAAUAAAAGUGGAAAAGGAAACUCUGGGCAGUUGAAGGCAGUUGACCAAGCAAUGAAUAUAAAGUUAUUUUAAAGGAACAUAUAAAUUUAUGGUUUGCUAUGAAAGUCUGCACCUGCUUAAGAGAAACAACAGAAACAUCAAAAUGGGUGAUUCAUUAGAAAUGAAAAAUGUUUCAACUUGAUGUGGCCAUGGUUUAUCUAGCACAGUGUUUCCCAAACAUCCAUAAUCCUAAGAAUCAUCAAGGUCACCUGAGAAAUACGCACAUUCCUAGUGUAACCCAGACCUAGAUAAUAGAAACUUCCAUGGAGGGAACUUGGCAUUUGGAUAUGAAAUCUAGUAGAAUAUUAUGAUUAGAGAAGUUUGGAAAAUAACUGCUCCAGGAGAUCUUUUUCAUAAUACAUAAACAGGGUAUAGGAUGUAUUACUUUAUUCCAUAUAAAAGUUAUCCUUCUGAAACAAUUCUCUCUCUUCUCUUCCCAGGAAUUAGAGGCAUUUCAAGUGAAACAAGAUUAUUUUUCUAGACCAGAAUUAUUUUUGCUUUUUAAAAAUGUCAUCUCUCUCCUUACUGCUCUAUCGUGGUGAGCUUAAGACUUUGUAUUUCCUUCCCUCUCACUUGUUACCCCUAUCUAAUGAAUGGUCAUCAUUUUAAAUAAAAGGCUCCAGAUAAGAAAUUUGGAGCUUAAGUUCUAGGUCUGGCUGGAACUCAGAGCUGUGUGUUCUUAUACGUUUAUGUACCUUUCAUCACUUUCAUUUUUACAUUUGAACAAUGCUCUUUGUAAAUCACACCAGCUGUACAUUGUUACAGAUAUUAAAUAUUUCCCACAAUCUUAUUGGCAAACCAUAAGAAUAUAUGAUGAGUUUUUGCUUGAUGGGCUAUAUAUUCAGGCUUACAUAUGCCCACAAGUACUCCUGUUAUUUACAGACUGUUCCCUAUUUCUAAAAUCAACUUGAGUCACAAUUUAAUCGAAGAUAACUCUUCAGAAAAUUCAUUUCCUAUAUCAUAUUGUCAGAAGUGUCUUUCGGGGCAGUUAUUCACAGGAGUUUGUCAUAUUGGAUAUGACAAGAAAAAGUUUAUUAUAAUGGAGACCAAUUUUUUAAGAGGAGGAGAAUGUAUGAAUGAACAAACAAGCUUGUGCCUAUUUUAGGUACUAACACUUUCAAGUCCAUGGAAGCAUGGAAGAGUAUAUUCUUCAGCUAAAUAUUGGAGAAGUUGCAGUGAAAAUAUUUUUUAAUACACAAAAAUGGUCAUGGCUGUGGCAUAACCAUUAACCCAAUGGUAAUUAUUAGUAACCAUUGGGCUGGGGUUCUAUAGAUAGAUAGAUAGAUAGAUAGAUAGAUAGAUAGAUAGAUAGAUAGAACUGCUUCAGAAGUUCAAAGAUGAAGAUAGAGAAGUAUAGUGGAGGAGUUUACAUUUCCUAAACUCCCUUGUCAGCUCAGCAUGUCUUCAGUGUAAAUACACAUGUGACAGUGGCCUAUACACUCAUUCACACUUCAGGGAACCCUGUGGUUUCCUUUACUCCCUCCAUUUUAGCAGUGGGCAGCCUGUAACCUUUUGAUCAAGCUGACUUUGUAUGCUACAUGACUGAACUCAGCUAUGCCAAACAUCCUUGAGGAAGUUGACAUUUGUGUACUUUGAAAGAAAAAAAAAAGGAAAGUGAAUCCCAACUGCUUCCUCCUGCCCUUUUGAUUAAGAGAAUGGUAAGUCAGCAGGAGAGGUGCUGCUUUUAACAAGCAGGGGUGUGCAGCAGCUGAUUGGUAUCUUUCUUUGAAAAAAAGUAGAAAAGAUUGAUGUUAAACAACACUAAUCAGAGUUGAUUACAGUUACUGAAUGAAUUCAUUGAUGGGAAAGAGCCAUGGUUCCAUAGACAACAAAAGAGAUUAGAUAAUAGUCAGGGGAAUAGUAUUUGGAAUAGUUCUGCUCAUGUCUGACAACCAGGAAUCAGUGGCCCUAGCUUCUUAAUCAUCCCUUGAAAUAGGCAUGUGUGUACAAUAAGUGCAGUUUUCUGCUGGUGACAUUCUUCUCACUGAACUCUGCCUGGUGGGCUUUUUUCUCUGCAUUCAGGCCUUAUCCUUCCCUGAUCACCUCAUCUGACUUGGUACUUCCAUCACAUUCUGAGGGGGUCCAAAACCUCACCUCUUGUCCUUCCCAGACAUUACCCUGGGUUAUAUCUGGAACCAUCUGUAGUUGCUUGACUGGUCUGUACUGAAUUUUUUUAAUUUUCUGCUAUUACCUCUACCUCUCUUUUAUCUCUUUUUAUCCUCUUUAAUCUUUCUCUGGUCAACUUCUUCCAUUUCUCAAGUUUCAGCUAAAGUACUAUAUCCUCAAACUUGUUAUUGAGCUUUCUCAUUAAAAAUCAGGUUUGCACACCUUUCUUCUCCCACAGCUAUUAUGCUGAACUCAAUUACAAUGGCUUAUUACUCUUCAGUAUAGUUAGUUGGAUAUUUACUUUCCCAUCUCUCCACUAGACUGAAGUAUUUGAGGGCAGAAACUUUUAUCUCUGUGUAUCUAAUGUUAGCAAACUAUGCAGAACAUUUUGGAUGUUUAAUAUAAAUGAACAAAUGAAUGGAUACUCCCCACAUACCUGCAAUAAUUUUUCAAAGUCAUUACCUGAAGUAAAGAAAUGGAACCUACAGGAAAAAAUUCUUGCACAGAACCGUAACUCACUGGUUACCUGUUCACUAAGACACUCAAAAGACAAAGUAAAUAAGAAAUCAAAUUUAGGAGCUUUCUUUUGUGUGACUUUUAGGUUGUUCCAGUCAGCACUGACUAUAAAAUGAGGAAGUUUUGGGGGAAAUAGCUUACUAGACUGAUGUUACAGUUUUUGACCAGUAAAUGAAUGUGUGGUUUAUUUUACAAAAUGGACUGCUGCUAUAUUAUGAUCAGUAUUAGCCUAGUGUCAUAUUCUGCCUCAUGUUAAUAAUCGUAAAAAUACUGAAUAUAUCACUGAAUAUAUCAUAAAUAUUUUCUAAUUAAUUAAGCCAUUAUACUCAUUAUUUUUAAUAAUCUCAUACAUUUAAAGUCCUCAAGAAAUGUUUUCUUCUUAUGUAACAACAAGUGGACAUCUAGGUCUUCUCCAUUCAACAUCUGAAAAGUAGAAAAUAGAGGAAAUCACCCUAGGCUUUUCAAGAGGAUUCAUUCCAAGUACAGUAGUUCACAGUUGCAACAAUUUUAUGUCGUUUUAUAUUUUACUCUUAAUUCUACUUGAUUUAGAAAGGAAUAAAUAGCUGCUUUAUAACCUCAUAAGGAUGGUACAAAGCUAGAGAAGGAGGACCCUGAUGCAUUAGAUCUAAGGAUGUCAAAUACCAUUUUACCACAUUUGCCCUAACGGUAGUUCCCCCAAUGGCUAAAAGUCAGAGGAACUUAAUGGGAUUCAGGAACCAUUUCAUUAUUGCAAUGGCACUUUCAUUUCACUUUUUAUGAGAUUGUUCUUGCUUAGUUCUUAAAUACAUUUCCAGUGUUCAGAAAUAAAAACCGUAUUUUAAAAAGUCUUAGCUCUUUAAGGGAGCCAGGGAUUUAGCUCAGUGGUUCUGCCGCCUGCCUCACAAGCGCAAGAUCCUGAAUUUGAUCCCCAGUACCACCGCCCCCCAAAAAAGUCUUAGCACUUUCUCCACAGCCAUCUUUGUCCUCUUUUAUUCCCACUGGUAGCCAAUAUUAUUAAUUAAUUGCUAUAUACCCUUCCAGUGGUCUUAAAAUGUAGAGAAGCAAAUAUAUAUUUUCCCUCACCUCUUCACAUAAGAGUUAGUCCAAGUUUUAUAAACUUUUCUAAAUCUUGCAUUCUUUGAUAUAAUUUCAAUGCAUUUCUCAAUUUUGCAUUCUCCAGUAUUUCUUAAAGAUACUUCUAUAUCAAUUAAUCUUUUUUUAGUUAUACAGUAUUCUAUUAUAUAAAUACACCCAGGCCUAUUCUACUAAUCCCUACUAUUAAACAAUUCUUGUCACUUCAAAUAAUACCCUGGCAAACAACCUUGUACAUAGAUAAUUUCACAAAUAUGCAAGUUCAUCUUCAGGAGUAAUUCUCAAAAGUAAAAAUACUCAUCAAAGGGAUACAUGCUUCUUGACUUUUGAGAAAUUGAUCUUAACAGGUUGGAUUAUUUAGCAGCACCCUAAGUAAUAUGUGAAAGUAUCAUUUUAUCCUAGCCUAAGCAAACUAAUAUUUUCUUCAGACUUUUGAAAUUUUUAAGAAUUAUGCCACUAAAAGAUAGCAUCAUGGUACAGUUUUAAUUUGCUUUUUUCUUAUUAUUAGUGAUGCUAAGCAUCUUUUGGUAUGUUUAAUGGUAUUA
Molecule: long non-coding RNA, 33854 nt
Filed under: Heterocephalus glaber (naked mole-rat)
Lineage: Eukaryota; Metazoa; Chordata; Mammalia; Rodentia; Bathyergidae
Description: lncRNA (ENSHGLG00100052526.1)
Source: RNAcentral